RNAcentral lists this transfer-messenger RNA (367 nucleotides) under Actinomycetaceae. Its description in RNAcentral is "Bowdeniella sp023387755 Standard tmRNA". It matches the Rfam family "transfer-messenger RNA". From Rfam's summary of the family: Bacterial tmRNA, also known as 10Sa RNA or SsrA, is named for its dual tRNA and mRNA-like properties. Its role is to liberate the mRNA from a stalled ribosome. To accomplish this part of the tmRNA is used as a reading frame that ends in a translation stop signal. RNAcentral also lists the same sequence under 1 other name. Lineage: Bacteria; Bacillati; Actinomycetota; Actinomycetes; Actinomycetales. The record is from RNAcentral.
GGGGACGAUCGGUUUCGACGGCGGCUUCGUUACAAGGGAAGCGGGCCGAGGAUGUGCAGCGAUCUCGCUAACCAUCUGCACAAACCAUUAGGUGCCGAACACAAGAGCACCGACUUCGCCCUCGCUGCCUAAGCGAGCUGCGUAGUCUGCUGACCCGGGGGUGCUUUCGACCCGGAUCUCAGUAUCAUCUAGAGAGCCACUGCUUCUCAGUCGCGUUGCCCGGCUGAGAGGGACUUUUAGGUAACUGAGCUCGUCGGCGGCUGGUUCGCGUGACCGCCGGAGCUGAGAACACGCAGUGCGAACUGCGCCCGGAGAAGUCUUGUUUCCAGGUCGUCGGACGCGGGUUCGAUUCCCGCCGUCUCCACUA